AUCAUCUUCUUCCUCCCAUCCGUCGAAGCCCCCGACUCAAGUAGCCGCUGCUGUACCGCUACCAAUCACGGCCUAAGGCGUGGCCCCUCCAGUGCUCAUUCCUCCUCCAUCCCUUUUGCUUGGAGGACGUUUUCUGAGUCUAAGCCAGCCACUGCACCCCCUGGUCCACCUUCGAUACCACAUACCAGCUUCGACGAGUGGAAGGAGCUGCAAUGG
This 216-nucleotide long non-coding RNA is filed under the name Elaeis guineensis (African oil palm). RNAcentral describes it as "long non-coding RNA (EGUI_LNC033868)". Lineage: Eukaryota; Viridiplantae; Streptophyta; Magnoliopsida; Arecales; Arecaceae. The record is from RNAcentral.